This 392-nucleotide ribosomal RNA is filed under the name uncultured bacterium. RNAcentral's name for it is "partial 16S ribosomal RNA". It matches the Rfam family "Bacterial small subunit ribosomal RNA", at positions 523 to 918 of the family's 1533-position model. The record is from RNAcentral.
ACACGUAGGGGCCUGACGUUGUUCGGAAUCAUUGGGCGUAAAGGGCGCGCAGGCGGCGAGGCAAGUCCGGUGUGAAAGUGCUCGGCUCAACCGAGUGAUGCGCUGGAAACUGCCCUGCUUGAGUACAGGAGGGGACGUCGGAAUUCCAGGUGUAGGGGUGAAAUCUGUAGAUAUCUGGAAGAACACCGGUGGCGAAGGCGGACGUCUGGCCAUGUACUGACGCUGAGGCGCGAAGGUGCGGGGAGCGAACAGGUUUAGAUACCCUGGUAGUCCGCACAGUAAACGAUGUGCACCAGGUGGCGGGGGGUAGCCCUCGGUACCGAAGCCAACGCAUUAAGUGCACCGCCUGGGGAGUAUGCUCGCAAGGGUGAAACUCAAAGGAAUUGACGGGG